AGUGAACGCUGGCGGUAGGCCUAACACAUGCAAGUCGAACGGCAGCACAGUAAGAGCUUGCUCUUACGGGUGGCGAGUGGCGGACGGGUGAGGAAUACAUCGGAAUCUACUUUUUCGUGGGGGAUAACGUAGGGAAACUUACGCUAAUACCGCAUACGACCUACGGGUGAAAGCAGGGGAUCUUCGGACCUUGCGCGAUUGAAUGAGCCGAUGUCGGAUUAGCUAGUUGGCGGGGUAAAGGCCCACCAAGGCGACGAUCCGUAGCUGGUCUGAGAGGAUGAUCAGCCACACUGGAACUGAGACACGGUCCAGACUCCUACGGGAGGCAGCAGUGGGGAAUAUUGGACAAUGGGCGCAAGCCUGAUCCAGCCAUACCGCGGGGGUGAAGAAGGCCUUCGGGUUGUAAAGCCCUUUUGUUGGGAAAGAAAAGCAGCAGGUUAAUACCCCGCUGUUCUGACGGUACCCAAAGAAUAAGCACCGGCGAACUUCGU
RNAcentral lists this ribosomal RNA (491 nucleotides) under uncultured bacterium. RNAcentral describes it as "partial 16S ribosomal RNA". It matches the Rfam family "Bacterial small subunit ribosomal RNA", at positions 29 to 506 of the family's 1533-position model. The record is from RNAcentral.